This 804-nucleotide ribosomal RNA is filed under the name Triticum aestivum (bread wheat). Its description in RNAcentral is "partial small subunit ribosomal RNA". Lineage: Eukaryota; Viridiplantae; Streptophyta; Magnoliopsida; Poales; Poaceae. The record is from RNAcentral.
AUGAUAGAAGUGGGUGAUUUCGGCGAUAUUUUGUCUGAUGACACGGUGCAUGCCUUGCAGCUGCUAGACGCACCAGGGGCGCAAGAGCCUGAAUGUUGCUCUCUGUAUGAACAUGUUGUAUCUGGCGAGGAAGGCCCUGCUACAAUUCGCUUGCGCGCACAAGUGGGUGAUCAGGUUAUGCUGCUGCUGGUGGAUUCGGGAAGCUCACACAGUUUCAUCAGUGAAGCGUUCACCGCCCGGAUCGCUGCCCGAACAGAGAAGUUACCCGCGGUUACAGUUCGAGUGGCCAAUGGUCAGAGAUUGCAUUGUGACAAAAUUGUUCACCAGUUGGCAUGGUAGGUCCCAGGACACACUUUCCAUACCGAUCUCCGGGUUCUCCCGCUGAGCGCGUAUGAUGGAGUGCUUGGCAUCGACUGGCUCUCAGCGCAUAGCCCUAUGCUCUGUCACUGGCAACUGAAGACGAUCCAAUUCGACGUCAAUGGCAAAACUGUCCACCUGCAGGGAGUAAAAUCUUCAGACCUGCCUCGCAUAGCGGAAUUGGAUGCCUGUGAAUUGCAUCGCAUGGAAGUGGCGAAUGACAUUUGGACAACAGCCCUGGUUACCAUCGAGCGGACGGACAAAACCCAACCGGAACCUGUUCCCCCAAAUAUUCAGAAGGUGUUAUCUGAAUUUGAAGACGUGUUUGAUAAACCCACUACUUUGCCACCCCGUCGUCAGUAUGACCAUGGCAUUCAUUUGGAGCCAGGCACUACGCCUAUCAACACCAAACCUUACCGUUACUCGUCGGCACAAAAAGAUGAAAUC